GCAAACUUGGUCAUUUAGAGGAAGUAAAAGUCGUAACAAGGUCUCCGUUGGUGAACCAGCGGAGGGAUCAUUAUCGAGUUUACAACUCCCAAAACCCCUGUGAACAUACCUAUCGUUGCUUCGGCGGGAUCGCCCCGGCGCCUCCGGGCCCGGACCCAGGCGCCCGCCGGAGGACCCAAACUCUUGAAUUUACGGUGUAUCUUCUGAGUGAAACAAGCAAAUAAAUCAAAACUUUCAACAACGGAUCUCUUGGUUCUGGCAUCGAUGAAGAACGCAGC
This 278-nucleotide unclassified non-coding RNA is filed under the name uncultured fungus. RNAcentral describes it as "partial contains small subunit ribosomal RNA, internal transcribed spacer 1, and 5.8S ribosomal RNA". The stretch from base 1 to 73 matches the Rfam family "Eukaryotic small subunit ribosomal RNA", at positions 1759 to 1831 of the family's 1831-position model. Lineage: Eukaryota; Fungi. The record is from RNAcentral.